GGGGAUUUAGCUCAGUGGUAGAGCGCUUGCCUAGCAAGCGCAAGGCCCUGGGUUCGGUCCCUAGCUCCA
Molecule: transfer RNA, 69 nt
Filed under: Rattus norvegicus (Norway rat)
Lineage: Eukaryota; Metazoa; Chordata; Mammalia; Rodentia; Muridae
Rfam family: tRNA
About the family: Transfer RNA (tRNA) molecules are approximately 80 nucleotides in length. Their secondary structure includes four short double-helical elements and three loops (D, anti-codon, and T loops).
Source: Rfam by way of RNAcentral